GUUGUAACAACAAAUAGGAAGACAGGGGAGGACCCACAAUUGAAUCGACUAGGCAUUAACAUAAGUGGCAAAAUAUUCCCCGCUACAUAACCCAAAGCUUGAGAAGCUUUGGAUAAAAAAAAUAUGCUCCUGUAAUCAUGGCAAGGCAAAAAGUCGAGGAAUAAUUCUUGACCCUUACAGUAUCUCAAAAUUUCUUGACCCACAAUAUAAAGUACAAGGAAAAGUGCAAAUAUCAAUGAGGAAAUCGGCAAAUACUGCAAAUAGACAUUAGUUGCCAGCAGUACUCAUCUUGAGCUUCUCCAACAACCAACCUAAAUUUCACCAGCAUCUCUUAGGUUUCAAAAUGUCAAAUUGCAAUACGCUAGUGCAGAAAACAACAUAUCAAAAC
Molecule: unclassified non-coding RNA, 388 nt
Filed under: Hevea brasiliensis (rubber tree)
Lineage: Eukaryota; Viridiplantae; Streptophyta; Magnoliopsida; Malpighiales; Euphorbiaceae
Source: RNAcentral